RNA transcript from Otolemur garnettii (small-eared galago), 1342 nucleotides. It is a transcript of the gene named translationally-controlled tumor protein pseudogene, with no coding region annotated. NCBI's taxonomy places the organism in Eukaryota, Metazoa, Chordata, Mammalia, Primates, Galagidae. The record is from RefSeq and is a predicted model, not a curated record. The transcript has a single exon.
AAGAACAAAAAUUAAUUUAAUAGAAAAUUAAAGGCAAAAAAGCAGAGCAUUGACAAAUCCAUGAACUAAUUCACUGAAAAGACUGAUAAAUAACCAAGUAUUUUGUACAUUUACUCAGGAGCAAAAAAAGAAUGAAUAAAUAAAUCUUCCUGGAGAUAAAAAAAAUCUAUUUUUAAAAUUAUAGUUCAUAACCCAUAUGGUGAAAAUAUAGGUUAAAACCCUCACUUAAGAAGAAGAAAGCCUGAAUAAACCAAUAAUCAUUAAAAGAGUUGAAUCCAGCUUUUCUGCCCGCUCCCCGCUCCCCACUCCUAUGGGCCAGCUCCGGCUCAGGGCUCCUGCAAAGCUAGAGCUGCUGCGAUCUCUCUUUAGCUGCCAUCACCAUUAUCUACCCGGACCUCAUCAGCCACGAUGAGAUGUUCUCCGACAUUUACAAGAUCUGAGAGAUUGCAGACAGCUUGUGCCUGGAGGUGGAGGGGAAGAUGGUCAGUAGGACAGAGGGUAACAUUGAUGACUUGCUCACUGGUGGAAAUGCUUCUGCUGAAGGACCUGAGGACGAAGGUACCGAAAGCACAGUUGUCACUGGUGUUGAUAUUGUCAUGAACUAUCACUUUCACAAAAGAAGCCUACAAGAAGUACAUCAAAGAUUACAUGAAGUCAAUCAAAGGCAAACUUGAAGAACAGAGACCAGAAAGAGUCAAACCUUUUAUGACAGGGGCUGCAGAACAAAUCAAGCACAUCCUGGCUCAUUUCAAAAACUACCAGUUCUUUAUUGGUGAAAACAUGAAUCCAGAUGGCAUGCUUGCUCUCCUGGACUACUGUGAGGAUGGUGUGACCCCAUGUAUGAUUUUCUUUAAGGAUGUUUAGAAAUGGAAAAAUGUUAACAAAUUUGGCAAUUACUUUGGAUCUAUCACCUGUCAUCAUAACUGGCUGCUGCUUGUCAUUCAAACAACACCAGGACUUAAGACAAACAGGACCGAUGUCAUCUUAAGCUCUUCAUUUAUUUUGACCGUGAUUUAUUUGGAGUGGAGGCAUUGUUUUUAAGGAAAAACAUGGCAUGUAGGUUGUUUAGAAAUAAAAUGCAUUUAAACUAAAAAAAAAAAGUUGAAUUCAAAGUUAAAAAUCUCCUCCAUCUUCCACUGUCCCCACCCACAAACAGCAAAUCCACCAGGUACAGAUAACUUUAUAGGAAAGUUCUACCAACACUUCAGGAAAGUGAUGGAAAAGAUGAAAAAGAGAAAUGUGAGUUCUUUUAUUCGGCUAGUGCGUGUAACUUUGAUACCACAACCAGAUAGGUGUAAUAGGAGAAAAGAAAAUGAAAAGACAAUUCUACCAAAAAUGUAGA